RNAcentral lists this ribosomal RNA (497 nucleotides) under uncultured Sphingobacteriales bacterium. RNAcentral's name for it is "bacterial SSU rRNA". It matches the Rfam family "Bacterial small subunit ribosomal RNA", at positions 886 to 1382 of the family's 1533-position model. The record is from RNAcentral. Lineage: Bacteria; Pseudomonadati; Bacteroidota; Sphingobacteriia; Sphingobacteriales.
AGCCCGCUCAGAAACUCAAAGGAAGUUAGACGGGGGCCCGCACAAGCGGAGGAGCAUGUGGUUUAAUUCGAUGAUACGCGAGGAACCUUACCUGGGCUCGAACGUAAGAUGACUGUAGGUGAAAGCUUACAUCUCCUCGGAGCAUUUUACGAGGUGCUGCAUGGUUGUCGUCAGCUCGUGCCGUGAGGUGUCGGGUUAAGUCCCAUAACGAGCGCAACCCUACCUUUAGUUGCCAUCAGGUAAUGCUGGGGACUCUAAAGGAACUGCCUACGCAAGUAGUGAGGAAGGCGGGGAUGACGUCAAAUCAGCACGGCCCUUACGUCCAGGGCUACACACGUGCUACAAUGGCCGAUACAGAGGGCAGCUACCUGGUGACAGGAUGCAAAUCUCCAAAGUCGGUCUCAGUUCGGAUCGGAGUCUGCAACCCGACUCCGUGAAGUUGGAUUCGCUAGUAAUCGCGCAUCAGCCAUGGCGCGGUGAAUACGUUCCCGGGCCUU